RNAcentral lists this transfer RNA (62 nucleotides) under Platypedia putnami. RNAcentral's name for it is "tRNA-Leu". The record is from RNAcentral. Lineage: Eukaryota; Metazoa; Arthropoda; Insecta; Hemiptera; Cicadidae.
UCUAAUAUGGCAGAUUAGUGCAAUGAAUUUAAGAUUCAUAUAUAAAUUAUAUUUUAUUGGAA